GGACCUGAGCCGAAGGCAGAGGCUUAACCCACUGAGCCACCCAGGUGCCCCUCCUUGUUUGUUUUUAUGCUGCACACUCUCCUGGAAGAUCCCUGGUGUUUCUCAAGCAGGUCUGACAGGCUUCUACCCCAGGGCCUUUGCCCAUCCAUGUCCUUACACAGAGGACUUCCUUCUUCCUGUCUUCUCAUGGGUUACACUCUCUUAUUCUCUCUCCUAUUAGGCUACAUCUGCUCAGCUGUAGCUCUUCUGAGAGGAAUUCUCUGAUCCCUUAACAUUCUCUAUUUCCUUACUGUCCUUUAUUUUUCUUGAGAGUACUAAUAUUACCUGGCAUUGUAUGGUAUUUUCUUUUUUAUUCUAGGUCUUCUUUCCACUAGAUUGUAAGUUCCCUGAUCCCAGAACUUUGUCCAUUGUUCACUGCUGCAUAAACAUUCUAGCUACCCAUAUGGUGUUACUGGUACAAAGUAAGCAAUGGGUAUUAGUUUCACGGGCAGAUUAAUGAGUACAUGAAUCAAUGAUGGAAUGAAAUUCAUACUGUCCAUGGAUUCAGCUACUAGCCACAUGCUGAUGACUCCAAAAUCUACACUUCCUGCCCCUCCCUCUUGAAAGCCAGAUCCACUUACCCCAACUUCCUGUGAGACAUAUGUGUUGUCACAAUCUAGAGGCACUCACAUUUACUUGCCCCAAACGGAACUCAUCACCCCCAGUAACCUAAACUUGCUAUUCCUCUUGUGUUCCCUUCUUUUGUGAAUGACUCCACCAUCUGCCCCUUUGCCUAAGCCAGAAACCUGAGAAUCAUGUUCUAUUUGUUCCUCUCCCUUAUCCUCCACAUUCAGUCUCUAAAUCCUAUUGAUUCUAGCCCCUUUGGCUUGAUCCUUGUCCUGUACAUCCCCACUGACACCAUCUCCUUCACUUGUUUAUCGCUUCUGACUACUUGACUUCCCAUAAACCUUGUCUCCUACCAAUUCAUUCUUUACUGUGCCACCAGGGAAAUCUUUCUAUAGUGUGCUGUAGUCAUGCUUACCAGUCUCCAGUGGCUACUCUUUGCUGAAAGUUAACAGCCAAGCUUCUAGGUAUGACAUGCAAAACCACUUAAAUUAAGUCCCCAACUAAAUUCUAGAAUAGGUCUCCUGCUGGCUCUCCUCUUAUCUCUGUUUUUGCUCCACCACCACCAUUCACAGUAGCACAACGAUGAGCAAGGAAUAUUUUCAAUACAUAUCUCUGGGUCACAUUCUCAAAAAAAGUAUGUUUUUCUUGGUUAUGCAGGACCUUCAUGUUUCUGGAUAAAAGGGAGAGUCCUUUAAGACAAUGUCUCUUAUGAUGAUGAUACUCUUAAGAGAAUCUUAAGACCUUUCCAAAAGUUUGCCGCUCUGUGGAAGGCGUAGAGCUAUGCCUUCUGAAGGAACCUGUUCCCAAGUGUGAAAGGAAGACCUGUUAUGUUUUCAACUUCAUCAUUUCCAGGGAAGAGGUUCCAGGGUUCCUCAGAGCCUGCAUCCGAUGGGAAGCCGGGGAACAAGGACCUGGGAAAGCACAGCUGGCAAGAUUGCAGCCCCUGAAAUCAGCGUACAAAGUGCGUACAGCAGAGUAAAUGAGCUAAGACCAUACGAGCAAAGGACUCCAAAGCCUAGAGACUGUGGCUCUACAUAAACACAGAAAAGAAUUUAGAUGCAAGUCAUGGAAAGAGGCCAGGAUGAGCUUCCAAGCGUUCAGAAUCUUACAACUGAUGAUGGUGCUUGAUAGGUAUUUGAUGGAGAGAUGAUCUGAUGCUGUGACAGACCAAGUGUGGACUAGCCUGGAUCUGCAUCUUCUUGCUGGGAGAGCCAUCUCUGUAGUCAUUCUUUCUACUGGGAAAUGGACUUAUUUAUCUACUUACUGGAAGUUUGAACCAAUUCCACAUGCCCUCUCCACCUCAGGUGUAUAUCAGAAAACAAAGCAGACAUCAUUUCCUGCUCUUGUGGAGCUUGUCUAUGGAGGAAGGAGACAACAAGAAAAAUUAGUAAGUAUUUUGUACGAUAUAUAAGAAGGUAGUAAGGGCCAUGGGGGAAAAUUAGAACAGGCGAUAAAGGUCAGCCAUGCUGGGGCAGGGGCUGGGAGGCUGGGACUUCUGGCAAUGAUAAACAAGGCAAUCAGAGUAGAACUCAUUUGAAGAGAUGGCAUUUGAAGAAGAUGCUUAACAGAAGGGAAUGAGUAAACCAUGUAGGUAUUUGGAGGAAGAACAUUCCAGAUGGAGGGAACAGCGAGUGCAGGGGCUCUAAGGCCAGGAGGUUGCUGCAAUGUUGAAGGAAGAGCAAGGAGUCCAUGACGGCCAGAGUAGAGGGAGCAAGUGGGACAGCAGUCAGAGAUGGAAGGGGGAUCUUGUGCAGCAUCGGAAGGACUCUGCCAUCCACCCUGAAUAAGGUAGGACCCAUGGGAAGGUUCGUGGUCUAGUUGGGUUUUGACAGGAUUAUUCCGGCUGCUUUGCUUGAAAAUAGACUGUAGGACGCAAGGGUGGAGGCAUAGUGACCUGUGAAACGGCUAUUAACGAUAAUCCCGGUGGGAUGUGACGGUGGUCGGACCACAGUGUAACAGGGGGAGGCAGGAUUCCCAGUGGAAGAGUGGAAUUGUUCUCCACUGGCAUGAGGAAAAGUAGGAAUAGAGGAGGGAUGGAAAAGAUUAGUUCAGUUUCUGACACGUCUAAUGAGAUGUUUGCUUGCUUAUUUAUUUAUUUGUUUUUAUUUAAGUUCAAUGAAUCCCCGUAGAGUUAACACAGUGUUAUUAGUUUCAGAAGUGUGACACGCUGGUUCAGCGCUUCCGCACAUCCUCGGGUGCUCAUCCCCGUGCCUCCUUCAUCCCUCCCCCCUUUCACCCAUCCCCUCCCAACCCCAGCCUCCCCGCUGGCUGUUCUUUCCCUGGCACUCAAAAUUCAAACCCUGCUGAGAAGUUAUCUUGCAUCACUUUUCCAACUAGCAAAACUCCCAUCAGAGAGCGCCAACUAUUUUUGAGAUCUUCAGAGCAUUUCAAAUACAAUGUCACUCAACGAUGGAGAACCUUCUUGGGGACAGGCACCAGACUCGUUGUGGAGAACACAGAGGCGUAUCAGUGGCACAUCCUGUCCUCUGGGAUCUGACAAGGUCAAGGAGAUGCCCAUGAAAAUAACCCAAGGCAGGUGGGAGAAAUGGCACCACACAAACUUACAGGGAAAGAAAGUGAGAAGUUUCUUCCUCAGAGCCUGAGACAUAGGCCCAUGUCUUGUCCUUUCCAAGACUGAGAAGACUUUCUCUGUUACCUAAUCCUGCAACAUCUGUCUUACUUUGAAAUCAGGCCUCUUUGUGGAAACUCCAGCUGAAAAGUCCACUAUGGAGCAAUUGCAUUCGUUGAAAUGCAUUUCUACCAGGUGUCAGGUUUUCUUAGCCUUCGCCUUCUUUUAGACCUCUCAGGGUGUCAACAUGGCCUCUGGAGGAGGGCACUGACUGAAAGGCAGUGUGAGGGUUCAAAUGAAGCCCUGGAGCUUUGUCAGUGGAGCCACAUCAUGGCUAUGAGCUCUGGAGAACUGCAAGAGACAGAGAAGUUUGUGUUUCUGGGAAGACAAGACCAAGCACCAAGCAGUUAGCUGAGAUGCUCCCUUCUCUGUGGGCUUAAUGAAUGAUACAAUUAAGUUCACAGGUACAGUGUGAACUGUUUUAUUUAUUAAAUUUCUCAUAGGCAUUUCCAUAUUAAAUGACUUUUUGAAAAGCCAAGAAAUAGUUUCAUUUUUUUAGUAAUAUUACAUGUGGUUAGGGUAGGAGUGGGAUGGGGCCAGGUGGAGCUAGUGCUGACAUUAAAAGCAAGAGACUCAGAAGCCCUGUUUCAGUCCAUAUGCAAAUUUUGAGAAGUCAGUUAGCUGCUACCUCAGUUUUCCUAUCUGUGAAAAAGAGCCCCUUAGCCCAGGCUACCCACCUGACACCCAUAUGAACUGUGUACGUGGCCACAUCAACUUUCCAGUACCACAAUUUCCAUUUGGACCAGUCUCAGUUCCUAAAGGGCCAACAGUAAGUUUCCCAUCCCAUGGCCUCUCGGUUCUAAGACUGAGCCCUCCUACAUCCUCAACCUCAUGAACUGACCAGGUCCUACCACCACCUAACAUUGCUCCCCUUCACACCCCAGUGGGACACCUUCUCACUUAUGUCACUGCCUUCCAGCAAAGACCACCAGGAACACCCCAGCAUAACCCGUGGAUGUUUGAGUGUGGGAGUGUUAGAAAAGACCUACAGGAUGUAGGCUUGUGCUUGCUGGUUUGGGGGAUGGUUCAAGGGAGUAGGGCUUGCUCUAGAUCGGGUGCUAUUCAGGAGGCUGGCUCAUUCUCUGGUUGGUAUCAUUAUAAAUGUUAGGCGGGGGAGGGCAGAUUGGAGGGAGACUAGGGGUGUAAUUGAUAAAGAAGCAGCCAUCUGCCAUAUUAGCUGGGAGAGAUGUUUGGUAUAAUGACUUGGACAAGAUUCAAGUCUUGUCUGUGUUCAGACAUGAUUAUGAAGUGGUCUUGUUUUUAUCUUGAUCCAUCAUGAUCACAGAGUGGCCUUGUCUGAUGCCGAGAUUCCCUGAAAUUGUUUUCCUUCAAUACAGAAGAACGCCAAGACUUAGCUAGUGGUGCCAAGCCCUCUCAGAGCAACACCAGAGAUGGCACCAGGCCUGCAGUUUUCCUUCUCAGCCAGGAGGGUCUCCUUAGCCCUGGGUUGAGGAGGAGGCAGGAAAGACAAGAAGUACACACAGUUUAAGGAGGCCACUCUCAGAUACUGGCCAAGCCCUUGCAUGACCCCAACAUGGAGUGAUUCCUUAUGUGUCAUGCCUCUCUCCCCUGCAUUGCCUCACCUCUGUCCUUGUCUGUGAAGUCCUCUGCUUUUCCUUCUUUUUUCACCCUAAAUCCUACCCAGAUCAGAUACAGACAUACCAAGACCACUGAUGGCAUUCAGGGCUCCUACCUCAAAAUAUCGCACCUUAGCCUACUGGAUAUUUUAAGCUGAAGGAAUUUGGGAACAUGGCAGAAGCAGGAAGGUCAGUGUGACCUCCUUCCCAUCUCAGCCUUCUUCCCCGAAAUAAGUCAUAAAGUCCUCAUGUGAGACGUGCCUUUGUUACACCCAGUCCCUGGGGAAAGAAGCAUGCUAUCUCUAAAGACAAAGGGACGCCAAGAAGAAUCCUAACAAACAGGACUUGCUAGGUUUCCCCAGUUUACUCCUCUUACCAGAUACUCCUCGUCCUGUCAUAUUCCCCCAUGACUGUCCACUCUCCAUCAAACCUGGCAUAAAAGCGCACAGGUCUAACUGCUUCUUCAGGUCUUCAUGUCCUUAUGAAGGCUUCAGCGUUGUAUAAGACUUACACUAAAUAAAUUCACGUGCAUUUCUUCUGUUUACCUGUCUUUGUCAGUUUGAUUUUCAGAUUCAGUCAGGGACCCUAAGAGGAUUGAGGACAAGUUUUCCCUCCCCUAACCCAGAUAGAGCUUUUACCUCCCUGAUGGUUAAAGCCCUCAAGGCCAUCACCCAUACAUUGCAGCUUUUUGUGAUUUGCUCAUUGCUUCUUAUAGAUUUGUUUGUUUUCUCCAAUUGUACUAUAGAUCUUAGCCUGACUGGUUCUUUCCCAUCAUCCAUAUCUCAACCUAAAUGGGCCACUAAAAGAGGACCUCCCAGGCCACCCCAACUAAAAUAUACCUGAUUCAAAUACUCUCCCUUUGCCUUGGUUUUUUCUCUUCAUUCCUUGAUCACUCUCUGAAAUGAUUUUAAUUUUAAGGUUAUUUUCUGUCCCCGCGGGCCACUCCAAUAUUAGUACUAGGAAAGCGAGUAUUUUGUCUGCCUUGUUCAUUCCUGUAUCUCCAGGGCCUUGUCAAUGUUAUGUUUUUGACAGUCAAUAUGCAUUUACUGCAAGCUCGUGUGUGGGGUAUGGUAAGUGCCCUGUAUGUGUAUGUGUAUACUGUCGGGGAGGCUGGGGAAGGAUGUUGGAAUAGAAACAUAAAAUCCUUGCCUUCCUGUGGUUUAUAAGCCAAGUGCCUCGGUUCUUGAAUGGUUUUGGAUUAAGCAAAUAGGUGUUAGCAGAUGUUCAUCUCUAAAUACUGCUAAUUGAUGUCCUGAUUGCCAAUCAUUUAAAAAGCUGAAUGGUCCUAAUUGGACUGUUUCAGCGGUUACAUACACUUUGUAAUUAAACUCCACUUUUGAAAAGGGAGUUUUGAAGUUCAGAAUUUUCUUUGAUAAUUUUCCUAAAUUCAUAAAAUUUUAAAUUAUAAAUCAGUGAGGAUUCCAUGCAGGAUUAAAUUCUGGCUUCAACUUUCCCAUGAAGAGUUUAGAUGAUGUGGCUGGAAAGGAAAUAACAAUAAUCACUGGGGGGCGGGGGGGCUGUCAAAUAAAAAUUUCAUUUGUUUGUUUAGGUCCUCACUUUCCUGUUAUUGUCUGGUGUGACUUUUUGUAGUUGUUUAUGAUGAAGGAACUUUCAUUUUCAUCAGUUAACCUUGGCCACUAUAGUGGCUCAGUUCAGCUACUGUUUAUCAGGCAAAUGUGUACAGAGUUCACAGCACCAGACCAGGCAGGAGCCAAGCCAUAGAUUGUCUAAUGCUUCUAGAAUAAGGGGCGACUUCAGCCAGGUGCUUCUAUAUACAUUAGCGAAAUGAUAUUUUUGCCUUUGAAUUAUCUGCUCAAUUAUUUAGCCUUCCAUGGCCUUCAGGACCUGUGUGUGGAAACUGGAUGCAGGUAUUUCUGAGGUGUGAGAAAUCUCAUCUAUUUCCUUUGGUUUGGUUUGGUUUAGGUGGUUCUAGAUUGCAAAGUGCUGCAGAGGGCUUUCAACAAUCAAAUGGAACUCUUCAUAUGCAUGAAAACAGAUCAGGAAGGCUACCCAGAAUGCCCUCUGGGUAAGAAGCAGGAUUUGGGAAACUAAGCCAAGGCAGACAUUGGCUUUAUCUGUACAGUUUGAAUUGUUUUUCUUUUUCUUUUUUUAAGAUUUUAUUUAUUUAUUUGAAAGAGACCGAGUG
Molecule: long non-coding RNA, 6958 nt
Organism: Mustela erminea (ermine)
Lineage: Eukaryota; Metazoa; Chordata; Mammalia; Carnivora; Mustelidae
Exons: 7
Source: RefSeq, a predicted model, not a curated record